RNAcentral lists this long non-coding RNA (1157 nucleotides) under Mytilus galloprovincialis (Mediterranean mussel). Lineage: Eukaryota; Metazoa; Mollusca; Bivalvia; Mytilida; Mytilidae. The record is from RNAcentral.
UUUUUUUAUGGUUUGAUAAGUUGCUGUCAUAAAUUGUUAGCAAACAUGUAAUGUAUAAACUAUUUCAACAUUGUAUAGUUUUAUUUUGCUUUAUGUAAAUUUUGCAACUUUUAAACAUUUUUUGGGUGAUUUUUAUGGGAUAUGGUUCAUUUUCUUUAUAACAUUUUAAGCUUAAGACGUUUUGAAAACAGUGAACACUGAAUAUUUUCCAUAUUUCUUAAUUCAUCCAAAGUCAACUUUGCCUGAGGAAAUUGGAACCUUAGUUUAUUCAUAUAUUCUUAAUUUGGAGAAUUUUAAAUAAGUAUGUUGUGAAUCAUGCCGUUUGAAGCAGAUUUUUUUUGGAAACACCAUUGCAUUUAUAUAUAUACAUAUGGAAUGGAAUUAUUUUGAUUUAAAAGUAAUUAAUUUUACAUAUGAUGUAUAUAAAAACAAUAAUACUCUGUUACUGAAACAAUCAUUACUUUGCAUUUGAUAACAUACAUGUACAUUUUUUUAUGCUAUUUGUUUUGCAUUUAAUAAUUUACAUUUUUUUCAUGUUAUUUGUAACAUUUCUGAUGGGGAAAAUAUGGAGACUAUGAAUCAGAUAACAUUCUGUCUGUAACACGGGUAUUUAUUUGGGAUAUAUUAUGUAUAUUCUGUUGCUGUAUUACGUUCAAUGUCUGAUGUUUAAUUGUGGCAUUUGAUUAAUUUUUUUAAUGUGAGGGUUCUUGUUAUAACAUGUGUAUAGACAGAUAUCUAAAUGCAUUUAAAAGUAAGUUGGGAGUUUAUUGUUCAAUGUUAUGGACUCUCAUUUAAAAGAUUUCUUUACAAUUUUCUGCUAGCUACUUUAUUUCUUUAGAAAUUUGAACCUCUGAUAUUUGAGAAUGCUUUGUAAAAUCAAUACAAAAGCCAUGUUCUGCAAUGCUUUUUUCUGUGAAUUUAUUCUUGUCAUUUAAAUUUGUUCAUGAAUAUAUGAAAGAAGAAUUCUAUUUUAGAUCAAAUUAUAAAUAAAGUAAAAUGGUGCUGUGAUAUAUAUAUAAUGUUUUGAAGUCUUGGAUGUGUGAUGUUGUUUUUUUAACUUGUUUGUUUAUUAAUACAUAAAUUAUAACUGUAGUGUCUUUUGUAAAAUGAGCAAAAAACAAAUAAGAAUAUAUUACUGUAAAUAAACAACAUCAUAC